This 735-nucleotide ribosomal RNA is filed under the name uncultured bacterium. RNAcentral describes it as "bacterial SSU rRNA". It matches the Rfam family "Bacterial small subunit ribosomal RNA", at positions 9 to 747 of the family's 1533-position model. The record is from RNAcentral.
GAGUUUGAUCAUGGCUCAGAUUGAACGCUGGCGGCAGGCCUAACACAUGCAAGUCGAGCGAGAAAGCACUUCGGUGUGAGUAGAGCGGCGGACGGGUGAGUAACGCGUAGGAAUCUACCUAGUAGUGGGGGAUAACAUGUGGAAACGCAUGCUAAUACCGCAUACGCCCUACGGGGGAAAGAGGGGGACAUUUGCCUCUUGCUAUUAGAUGAGCCUGCGUAAGAUUAGCUAGUUGGUGGGGUAAGGGCCUACCAAGGCGACGAUCUUUAGCUGGUCUGAGAGGAUGAUCAGCCACACUGGGACUGAGACACGGCCCAGACUCCUACGGGAGGCAGCAGUGGGGAAUAUUGGACAAUGGGCGCAAGCCUGAUCCAGCCAUGCCGCGUGUGUGAAGAAGGCUCUAGGGUUGUAAAGCACUUUCAAUAGUGAGGAAAAGUUGGUGGUUAAUACCCAUCAGCCGUGACGUUAACUAUAGAAGAAGCACCGGCUAACUCCGUGCCAGCAGCCGCGGUAAUACGGAGGGUGCGAGCGUUAAUCGGAAUUACUGGGCGUAAAGCGAGCGUAGGCGGUUGUCUAAGCCAGAUGUGAAAGCCCUGGGCUUAACCUAGGAACUGCAUUUGGAACUGGGCAACUAGAGUAUAGGAGAGGAGGGUAGAAUUUCAGGUGUAGCGGUGAAUGCGUAGAGAUCUGAAGGAUACGGGUGGCGAAGGCGGCCCUCUGGGCUAUACUGACGCU